AGUCAAUAGAUACCCAGGUAGUCCACGCCCUAAACGAUGUCACUAGGUGUUGGGUGGGUAAAACCAUUUAGUACCGUAGCUAAACGCGUGAAAGUUGACCGCCUGGGGAGUACGGCCGCAAGGUUAAAACUCAAAGGAAUUGACGGGGACCCGCACAAGCGGUGGAUGAUGUGGAUUAAUUCGAUGCAACGCGAAAAACCUUACCUACCCUUGACAUGUCAGAAACUUGGCAGAGAUGCCUUGGUGCCCGAAAGGGAAUCUGAACACAGGUGCUGCAUGGCUGUCGUCAGCUCGUGUCGUGAGAUGUUGGGUUAAGUCCCGCAACGAGCGCAACCCUUGUCGUUAAUUGCCAUCAUUUUAGUUGGGCACUUUAACGAGACUGCCGGUGACAAACCGGAGGAAGGUGGGGAUGACGUCAAGUCCUCAUGGCCCGUUAUGGGUAGGGCUUCACACGUCAUACAAUGGUCGGUACAGAGGGUUGCCAAGCCGCGAGGUGGAGCCAAUCCCAG
This 509-nucleotide ribosomal RNA is filed under the name uncultured bacterium. RNAcentral's name for it is "bacterial SSU rRNA". It matches the Rfam family "Bacterial small subunit ribosomal RNA", at positions 775 to 1277 of the family's 1533-position model. The record is from RNAcentral.